UACGAAGGUCCCAAGCGUUGUUCGGAAUAACUGGGCGUAAAGCGUGUGUAGGCUGCGCGGAAAGUCAAAUGUGAAAGCCAAGGGCUCAACCCUUGAACUGCAUUCGAUACUCCCGUGCUAGAGUAAUGGAGAGGUAAGUGGAAUUCUCGGUGUAGCAGUGAAAUGCGUAGAUAUCGAGAGGAACAUCAAUGGCGAAGGCA
This 200-nucleotide ribosomal RNA is filed under the name uncultured bacterium. Its description in RNAcentral is "partial 16S ribosomal RNA". It matches the Rfam family "Bacterial small subunit ribosomal RNA", at positions 524 to 723 of the family's 1533-position model. The record is from RNAcentral.